AAUCAACGCUGGCGGCGUGCCUAACACAUGCAAGUUGAGCGCUUGAGGGGGGCAACCCCCAAGAGAGCAGCGAACGGGUGAGUAACGCGUGGGUGAUCUUCCUUCGAGUGGGGAACAACAUCGGGAAACUGGUGCUAAUUCCGCAUAAUAUCCUCGGGCCACGAGCCUGGGGAUCAAAGCCGGGGACCGCAAGGCCUGGCGCUUGAAGAUGAGCCCGCGUCCGAUUAGCUAGUUGGCGGGGUAAUGGCCCACCAAGGCUCCGAUCGGUAGCCGGCCUGAGAGGGCGGACGGCCACACUGGAACUGAGACACGGUCCAGACUCCUACGGGAGGCAGCAGUGGGGAAUUUUUCGCAAUGGGCGCAAGCCUGACGAAGCAACGCCGCGUGGAGGAUGAAGGUCUUCGGAUUGUAAACUCCUGUCGACCGGGACGAAUGCACUCGACCUAAUACGUCGGAAUGUUGACGGUACCGGUGGAGGAAGCCACGGCUAACUCUGUGCCAGCAGCCGCGGUAAUC
This 516-nucleotide ribosomal RNA is filed under the name uncultured bacterium. Its description in RNAcentral is "bacterial SSU rRNA". It matches the Rfam family "Bacterial small subunit ribosomal RNA", at positions 32 to 525 of the family's 1533-position model. The record is from RNAcentral.